CUUCUGCAGCCACCUGAAAGGAGGAUGGAGCCACGCAGGGCUCGGGCUCUUUAGGUUGGAUAUCAGGGAAAAUUCCCUCACCGAAAGGAUUGUCCAGCCCUGCCCAGGACAGCGGUGGAGUCCCCGUCCCUGGAGGGUUUUAAAAGCCAUGUGGGUGUGGGGACAUGGGGACCUGGGACAUGGGUUCGUGGUGGCCUCGGCAGUGCUGGGGAUGGAGGGACUCGGUGAUCCAGGCGGAUUUUCCGGCACAAACCGGGCGCUGCUCCCUGCGAUCCCUGUCCGCGUCUGCAGAGGGCACCAGGCCCCCAAAUGUCCCUGUCACCCCCGGCGGGACAGGGCGCGACACCGCCGGGACGGCCGGGAGGCUCCCGGGGAAUGCUCUGGGUGACACCGACCCGGGGAUGCUCCGGGUGACACCGACCCAGGGAUGCUCCCGGGGAAUGCUCCGAGUGACAUCGACCCAGGGAUGCUCCCGGGGAAUGUUCUGGUGACACCGACCCAGGGAUGCUCCUGGGGAAUGCUCCGGGUGACACCGACCCAGGGAUACUCCCGGGAAUGCUCCGAGUGACACCGACACAGCCACCCAGGGAUGCUCCUGGGGAAGGAUCCAAGUGACACCGACCCAGCCACCCAGGGAAUGUUAUGGUGACACCGACCCAGCCACCCAGGGAUGAUCCAAGUGACACUGAUCCAGCUCCCGAUCCAGCUCCCGGGGAAUGAUCUGGGUGACACCGACCCAGCCACCCAGGGAUGAUCCCAGAGAAUGAUCCGAGUGACACCGACCCAGGAAUGUUCCUGGGGAAUGUUCUGGUGACACCGACUCAGCCACCCAGGGAUGCUCCCAGGGAAUGAUCCAAGUGACACGGACCCAGCCACCCAGGGAUGCUCCUGGGGUAUGAUCCAAGUGACAUUGGCCCAGCCAUCCAGGGAUGAUCCUGGGGAAUGUUCUGGUGACACCGACCCAGCCACCCAGGGAUGAUCCAAGUGACACUGACCCAGCUCCCGCUCCAGUUCCUGAGGAAUGAUCCUGGUGAC
Molecule: long non-coding RNA, 1035 nt
Filed under: Taeniopygia guttata (zebra finch)
Lineage: Eukaryota; Metazoa; Chordata; Aves; Passeriformes; Estrildidae
Description: lncRNA (ENSTGUG00000029481.1)
Source: RNAcentral